GUCCGGUCCCUUGCCCUUUUACUUUAGGUGACCGAAUCUGGAUUGAAGCGUGAGCCACCACCAUCCAAACAACCUUACCCAAAAUCAAUUCAUGUUGGAAAUCUAAUUGGAGAUAAAGAUGUUGAAUGAACAGAAAAUUAAGCUAAAGCAAACCAAUUGAUUGAGUAUGGGAAUUAAAGAAUGGAUGGAACAAGAAGGAGAAGAAGGUUCAUAAUGGGUUUGAAGAAUUGGAAGAGCUCAUAACUAGCCCUUAAGCCUCUUUGGGUGUUCACUAGCAUUUUAAGCCGACGAAAUUCCUGUCGUUUGGGCAUCAAUCUCAUAUAAUUUGGAUCAAUAUUGAAGUAUGGGGACGCUUCUGAAGCUGAGGUACUGAUGUUGUCAAUUUCUGGUUUUUUACGCGCACGACUACAUGAACGGAUGCUUGAGAACGUACGGAGAAGCUCGGUGACACUGGAAAUCUCAGGUGGGUUUGUUUAAGUAAAGACAUGACAGCCAUAAGACCAAAGCAUAGGAAAAUUAUAUUUGCAAAGUUAGUAACAUUGAUGAUAUAGUUUAGAAUUGCUAUAAUUUGAAAUGCUUGAGUAUUUUCCCUUCCCCAUACUCAAAUGUGUUGUGAAUGUGUUGAAUAAUCAUAGUUUCAUGAGGUAUAAGUUAAGAGUUAACGGGCAUCGUUAGAAGUUGGUUUAAGAACUUGGUUUUCAUGAAAAACCCCAUUUUAUGCAGUAUCAAUCGAUUAAAACAUGACCACUUCUGCCCCAAUCGAUUGACAGCCUUACAAAGCACAAGAAAAACUGAUUUUUGACUGUCUCAAUUGAUUGAGACAUAAUCCCUGUUGUCUCAAUCGAUUGGCCCUGUGUAAAAUGGGAAAAUUCUGUUCUUUUAAGGCCCGGACGACUCCCGACUCGUACGAUAAUGGUCCUAGAUUAUUAAACAUGUUCACACACCAUUUCAACAUCAAUUUUUAGGAUGAAAUAAUGAUAACAUAGAGCUUAUGACUUAUGCAAGUUUCCCUAUAAUUAGAUACAUUAACAUCAUAUUCGAUUAUGAACCUGCUGGCUCAGUUCUCUGCAACUGGUAAUAAACUCUAUUUACGGAAACAUUUCUUCAUGUUUCUGAGACUAUACAAAUAUGUUGGAUGAUGUCAUGCUUGAUGCUUCUUGUACUACCUAGCAUCUAGCAAUGUGACAGUGACUUGGUUCACACUCCAUGUUUCAUCUUGUUUACUUGAAGAGGAAUCAGUUUCAGGAGGAUUCAUUGACCUUCCUCCGAGGGAAAACCCUGGGCUUCUAGGUUCUGGCAUUAGUGCAGUUUCACUGCUAAGCAUCAAGAGCACUGAAGGCAUUGUUGGCCUAUCUUCUGCACGUUCUUGGACACACAAUAGUCCAACAUGUAUGCAUCUAAGAACUUCAGAUUGUGCAUAUGAAUCGCCAAUCGAUGAAUCAAUGAGUUUCAAUGCAGUGCCUUCUCUCCACUGCGUCCAUGCCUACAUCAAGAAAAAAAAAAUCUUAGUACUUAUUAUUUAGUAGAAAAUUAUAUCAUAGUAUUCUAAUUGAAGAAUCGCUCUCGCGUACAUUUUUUAGAAGAUUCAUAUCAUCAUUUGUGUAACAGAAUCCUCUAUUUUUCUUUCCACUUAUAAUCUCUAGCACAAGAACUCCAAAGCUAAAUACAUCUGAUUUUACUGAGAA
Molecule: long non-coding RNA, 1685 nt
Organism: Trifolium pratense (red clover)
Lineage: Eukaryota; Viridiplantae; Streptophyta; Magnoliopsida; Fabales; Fabaceae
Exons: 3
Source: RefSeq, a predicted model, not a curated record